AGACACGGAUCCAAACACUGAGAUUAUUUUCUUUUUACGGACAAUCGGUUUGAGUCUGGAUUAAAAGGACAUUUAUUAGUUCAGACUUGUGAUGUGAGGAGGAGCCUGUGUGAGCGUACCCGCCUCGAUCCGCCAGGGCCCGCUGUUUAAAGGGCUCUCUCUCGCACUCGCACGGCGUGGAUGCCCUGGCCGCCUCCAGCAGAGAGCAGUGCGCGGUUGGAUGUGAGCGCUGCCGACCUGUCUCUACUUCCAGAUCGAAGAUGGCGGUCUCGGUGUUCCCCGGCGUGCGCCUCAUCUCCAUCGGAGACGCAAACGGAGACAUCCAGCGGCACUCGGAGCAGCAGCCCCUCCGGUUAGAAGUCAAAACAACACAGGACGCGGCCCUCAUCAAUCUCUCCAAUGGAGAGGAGGCCAGCGUGUUCAAAUGCUCCGUGUCCAGGGAGACGGAGUGCACGCGCGUGGGGAAGCAGUCGUUCAUCAUCACGCUGGGCUGUAACAGUGUGCUGCUGCAGUUCUCGUCGCCCGCAGACUUCCAGUCCUUCUACAACGUGCUGAAGAACUGCCGUGGACAUCUGAACGAGCGCUCCGUCUUCAGCGAGCGAACAGAGGAGUCCUCGGCUGUACAGUACUUCCAGUUUUAUGGCUACCUCUCCCAGCAACAGAACAUGAUGCAGGACUACGUUCGGACAGGGACGUACCAGCGGGCCAUCCUCCAGAACCACACAGACUUCAAGGACAAGGUGGUGCUGGACGUGGGCUGUGGUUCGGGGAUCCUGUCGUUCUUCGCGGCUCAGGCUGGAGCCAGGAAAGUGUAUGCAGUGGAGGCCAGCACCAUGGCCCAACACGCAGAGGUGUUGGUGAACAGUAACCGUCUGUCAGAGCGCGUGGUGGUGAUCCCGGGGAAGGUGGAGGAGGUGACUCUGCCGGAGCAGGUGGACAUCAUCAUCUCGGAGCCCAUGGGCUACAUGCUGUUCAACGAGCGCAUGCUGGAGAGCUACCUGCACGCCAAGAAGUUCCUCAAGCCCAACGGUAAAAUGUUCCCCACCAUCGGAGACGUGCACUUGGCCCCCUUCACAGACGAGCAGCUUUACAUGGAACAGUUCACCAAGGCCAACUUCUGGUACCAGCCGUCUUUCCACGGGGUCGACCUGUCUGCGCUUCGAGGAGCAGCGGUCGAUGAGUAUUUCAGACAGCCAAUAGUAGACACUUUCGAUAUCCGUAUUCUGAUGGCCAAAUCGGUCAAGUACACAGUGAACUUCCUGGAGGCCAAAGAAGAGGACCUGUACAGGAUAGAGAUCCCCUUUAAGUUCCACAUGAUGCACUCAGGCCUGGUGCACGGCCUGGCCUUCUGGUUCGACGUGGCGUUCAUGGGCUCAGUAAUGACCAUCUGGCUGUCCACGGCGCCCACUGAGCCUCUGACCCACUGGUACCAGGUGCGCUGUCUGCUGCAGUCCCCCCUCUUCACCAAGGCCGGAGACACGCUGUCCGGGACCGCCGUGCUGGUCGCCAACAAGAGACAAAGUUACGACAUCAGUAUAGUGGCCCAGGUGGACCAGACCGGAUCCAAGUCGAGUAACCUGCUGGACCUCAAGAACCCCUUCUUCAGGUACACGGGCACCACCCCCAACCCUCCUCCAGGCUCGCACUACACCUCCCCCUCAGAGAACAUGUGGAACACAGGAGCCUACAGCAUGGGCCAGGGCAUGGCUGGAUCAGGGAUGCCCACAGCCUACGACCUGAGCACGGUGAUCGGCAGCGGCACGCCGGCCUCCCACAACAACCUCAUCCCGCUGGGUACGAACUGCACUCCUCCAGGCUUCACUCCCGCUCAGGGCACAUGGUGUAGUGGGGAGCAAGUAGGAACAGAGGCCCAGAGAAAGCCCGCUGCCCAGCCCGAAAACAGUUAUGUCCACACCAACGGCCUCCUCUCCACACUCAAUGCAUGCUCUCUGUAGUCCACACACAAACACAAACGCACUGCACAGACACACGCAGGCCUGUCACGAUCACUUCCUCAAGUAAAUGUCCACGAGAAACGAUAACGUAAUAACCCAAAAGCUGAUUUAAACCACAAAAUGUACAACUAUCACUAUGGUAUUUACUGGUCUAUGUUAUAAUUUCUUCAUUCCAAACAGACCUGGAGUUGUGUUUUGUUUCAUUCACAAGUUUAACGCACAAACCCUGCAGAUUUAGUUCUUUUCUCAAACAGAAAACACUGUUCCACCUUGUGAUGUCAUGUGGUAAUAGGUUCUAAUCACACUUAUACCACAAACCAGGGAGACGUUUGGAAACAUGCGAUGACAAUUUCCGGCGGGUUCUGUUCACGUUAGUAAGUUUGGUAAAAUCUAGGAAACAUGAGAAAAUGUCCCAGUUUUCUUCAUCUACAUGUCAGUCGCCGCAUUUACAUGAGAGCUUUAAUUCCACAUAAAAAUAAUUUAAUUCAGAAUAAAAAUGUAUUCCGCUUUAAAAAGACCAUGUAAACACUUGAUUCCUAAUGAGCAUUAUUGUUCAGAAUUAAACUUAAUUCCGAUGUAAUUGGUUGGUUUAUUCCAAUUUUAAAGCCAAAUUCAUUUCUUCCUCGAUCAUGUAAACGUUUAUUCUUCUUAAAAAUAACUGCGGUCGUUGAGAGCACACUCGUUCGGUUGACAUUCUAGCGCAAUCCGGACGAUCCGGCUCACCCAGUCCUGGCUUCGGACUUUCAUCCACGUCUCUUUUGAUUUGUGAGCGGGAUGUGGGAGUGGGCUGAGGUAGAGCAGCCGUCGACUCAGUUUGUCUUCUUCCUCCCUUCUCCGACAGUCUUCCCUUCUCCUCCUCAGCCGACAGACGUAAAGCGUGAUGAGACAAUUCUCAAUCUGCUGCGCAAUUAUCAUCGGAACCACUGCGAAAAAAGUUUGGAUCGCGUUUGUGUCCGUGGCGUAACGACAAACCGAGAUGACGAAAAAGCCGGUCCAAUCAGAACCCUUCCCCACCCCCAGACGUCGAGCAGAAUUAAAUAAAGACGAUUUAACGUGUUUUCCAUGUAAACCUCAUUUCAGAAUUAUUAUUUCCAGGUAAAAUCGAAGGAGAAUAUUUUAAUUCAGAACUAUUAAUUUGGAAUUAAAAAAACAACUUGUAAACAUGGCCAGUGUAACGUUCCAUUAUGUUCGGCUGAUCAACAAUUAUGUCCAUACCUCAGUUUUCAUCUUUUCCCCACUGACACACAACUCCGAGCGCACUGGGUUCAUGCGAUUAGAGGAGAUGAGACGCCAAAUUCGAGAUGAUUCCCAACAGCACAUACGUAUGCAGUCCUCAUUUUACCGCUGAUCACGUUUAAUUCAAUGGGUUUUAUCCAUGGAUCUGUAAUAAAAACUGGAUAAUUCCCUCCUCCUCUGUCCGGGCUUGAGACCGACUAGUGGCCGCUCCAGGUACUGCAGCUCCUGGGAGCUUUGGGCCCAGAAAAAAUUCUCCCAUAGAACACAAAGCAUUUUUUGGGGAGUUCAUUCUGCCCGUGUUCAGCUGGGCACCGACAGCUCUCACAACAGAUUCUUUUCUAUUUUAACAACAUCAACGUUUAAAUCCUCAACACGACUAAAAGUUAGCUUUGUCAGACUUGGCCUAGCCCCACUCUGAGUCCGCUCUAGCUCCGCUCUCGCAGCUCUCACUCUGAUUGGUCCAAACUCUCCACGCCGUGCACGUUACAGACGUCACACGGAUGGAAGGAGCUCGCCCGGAUUGAGUGAUGAUAAUUAAGUAAUUCAAAUUGCUUUACCGAAUAAGAAAUACAUUAUAAAAUCACAACACAAACAAAUCAAAACAUAGAUCUUUCCGUCAGUCUGUCCCAGGGCAGCUGUGGCUACAAGAGUAGCUUACCACCACCGGGUCUGGAGUGAAUGAAUAAAGAUGUCUUUGAGUGUCCAAAAAAGCGCUGUAUAAAACUGAUGCAUUAUUAUUAUUAUUAAUAAAUAAUCAUCAUAAAAUUAAAAAGAGAGAGACAUUAAAUUAGAGAGAAGAGUGCGGAAUGAAAAAUGAAAACCUCGAUGAAACGAACCCAGUCAUUGAGGACGUAAAUGUGAAAGAGAAAAUUAUUUUUGGGCCCAUGCGCCAAUGAGCACAGACCACUGAAAACAACACAACGCCAUUUUGAGUCGCCAUCAACUUCAGAUUUUAUUAUAGUUCUACGGUUUUAUCGCAGUCGGUCGGCGAGCUCAGUGUCGGGAACUACACCGGAAGUUGUCAUCGCAUGUUUCCAAACGUCGAAUUAAUUUAUGCCUCGAUCAUGUAAACAUUUAUUCUUCUUAAAAAUAAUUCCGGUCGUUCAGGGCGUGGUCGUUGGGUCGCCCUUCUGAUACGAUCCGGACGACUAAUAAAAAAAAUAGAGAGAGACAUUAAAUUAGAGAGAAGAGUGUGGAAUGAAAAAUUAAAACCUUUCAGUCAUUGAGAGAAAUUUAUUUUUGGGCCCAUGCGCCAUUGAGCACCAUCUUGGGUUCAACUUCAGAUUUUAUUGUAGUUCUGUGGUUUUAUGUCGGGAACGAAGUCGUCAUCGCAUGUUUCCAAACUUUUUCCACGAGUCGAGUCUGUACAGGAAGUGCUCCACCUACGCUUUCACUCGAAUAAUUUGGAUGAUUUCAGCUCUGGAUUUCCCAAUCUUUACUGAACAAAAAGGUCAAAAGGAUCUUUACUUUAACUUAAAAAACUACCACUACACGACAUCACAAAACGGAACAUAACAUUUUGAGCUUUGGAGAUGUAAACAGAGUAAUAAUAAAGCUUUACUCAAACACGUGAAGGAAACAAAACACAGCUCCAGGUCUGUUUGCGUAACAGAAGACCUUUAAACACAAUGAGCUGCAGUAAAUAAGAAGCACAAUGAAACACUUUAGUGCUUAGCGUCUGUAAUGAGUCAUACUUAUUCAACCUUGUGCAGCUCAAAUCUUUUAUAUAGCCAAAAAAAUAUAUAAAAAAUCACCAAAAAUGUUCCUGUUGUGCAUUGAAAAAGUGCAAUGACCAAAAAAAUCCUAAAAUAAAUCCAUAUUCUGUUCCGAUCGUGACAGGCCUAGACACACACGCCCUUGGUUCAACUGACUCCAGCUCACAGCAGGCAGCUCGAUUACACUGAAUUAUACGACUUUUUUUUUUUUUUUAGGUUUCGACACUAACUUGAAAGGCGCGUCACCUGCUUGGAAUGUUCCGCAGUACGGCAUUAAACUUAUACAUGUGCAUUUCUUAAUUAUAUGUGCUUUAAUUGCUCAAAAAUAUCUUGAAAAAUAUGUUUGUUUGGUGUUUUGUUGUUUUUUUGUUGUUUUUUUUACAAUGAACAGGCUCACCUCUCCACAGAGCUGACCUGUAACUCGUUCUCUUGUCUCCGUGGAGAUUCUUCUAAUGCCAUACUGUGGAACAUUCCGGGCGAAGCAGUAACAUUUCCAUAGGGGCAAGCAGGCUAUCAGGAUUUUCUUUUUCUUUUUUUUUCUUUUUUAUACAAAUUUCAAUAUUUUUCUGAACGUAAACAACACAGACUUUUCAUCAUUGCCGUUUAGCGUAAAAUUAUCCUCAAAUUUCUUUGUCCUAAGCUUUGCGUCUUCUCCAAACCGCUCGCUUCCAUUCCAUUCAAACCAUUCAAACCCAAACUCAUCACUGACUGAGUAGAAAUGACUGAAAACCUCAUUUUACCUGAUUUCUAUUGGUUCAUCCACUUUCAAAGGGCUCGUAUUACACUAUUUUCUGAUCUACAGUGUGUUCUAAUGUUGUUUCCUCAUCACAAACAGACCCGGAGUUGUGUUUUGUUUCGUUCGCACAUGUUUCACGCACAAACUCUAAGGACUAAACUAGGACUAAAACCAGGACUAAAACGAGGUCUAAACCAGGUCUAAACCAGGUCUAAACCAGGUCUAAACUAGGUCUAAACUAGGUCUAAACCAGGUCUAAACUAGGUCUAAACCAGGACUAAAACCAGGACUAAAACGAGGUCUAAACCAGGACUAAACCAGGACUAAACCAGGACUAAACCAGGACUAAAACCAGGACUAAAACCAGGACUAAAACCAGGACUAAACCAGGUCUAAACCAGGUCUAAACUAGGUCUAAACUAGGUCUAAACCAGGUCUAAACCAGGACUAAAAUGAGGUCUAAACCAGG
RNA transcript from Boleophthalmus pectinirostris (great blue-spotted mudskipper), 6111 nucleotides. It is a transcript of the gene named coactivator-associated arginine methyltransferase 1, with no coding region annotated. The transcript is spliced from 15 exons. The record is from RefSeq and is a predicted model, not a curated record. Lineage: Eukaryota; Metazoa; Chordata; Actinopteri; Gobiiformes; Gobiidae.